Onychostoma macrolepis is the source of this 192-nucleotide long non-coding RNA. RefSeq lists it as uncharacterized. Lineage: Eukaryota; Metazoa; Chordata; Actinopteri; Cypriniformes; Cyprinidae. The transcript has 3 exons. The record is from RefSeq and is a predicted model, not a curated record.
GCAUCACAACCGUUAACUAUAGAGGCUAACAAUUAGAGGAGCGUCAGAAUAAAAUACCUAAAACAGGGGAAGUUACAAAAAAAUUUGUAAUGUGAGCUGCUGACAGAGAUACAGGAAACACAGAGCUGGAGCGGAGCAGAUCUCCUGUCGAAGAACAUCUCCAAAGCGCCAUGAACCAUCUGACUAGUAAGU